CAGUCGCCGCGGGAAUACGUAGGGUGCAAGCGUUAAUCGGAAUUACUGGGCGUAAAGCGUGCGCAGGCGGUUAUAUAAGACAGAUGUGAAAUCCCCGGGCUCAACCUGGGAACUGCAUUUGUGACUGUAUAGCUAGAGUACGGCAGAGGGGGAUGGAAUUCCGCGUGUAGCAGUGAAAUGCGUAGAUAUGCGGAGGAACACCGAUGGCGAAGGCAAUCCCCUGGGCCUGUACUGACGCUCAUGCACGAAAGCGUGGGGAGCAAACAGGAUUAGAUACCCCGGUAGUCCCUGUCUCUAAUAC
This 301-nucleotide ribosomal RNA is filed under the name uncultured bacterium. Its description in RNAcentral is "partial 16S ribosomal RNA". It matches the Rfam family "Bacterial small subunit ribosomal RNA", at positions 509 to 809 of the family's 1533-position model. The record is from RNAcentral.